CAGAGAACAUCGCCCGCGAGGGUGACUCUCCAACCCUAUGUUAAUUAUACCUUUGUUGCUUUGGCGAGCCGCUCCGGCCACCGGCUUCUAGCUGGUGAGUGCUCGCCAGAGGACCCUAAACUCUGUUUAUACAUGUCGUCUGAGUACUAUGUAAUAGUUA
RNAcentral lists this unclassified non-coding RNA (160 nucleotides) under uncultured Phialophora. RNAcentral's name for it is "sequence contains ITS1". The record is from RNAcentral. Lineage: Eukaryota; Fungi; Ascomycota; Leotiomycetes.